RNAcentral lists this ribosomal RNA (252 nucleotides) under uncultured bacterium. Its description in RNAcentral is "partial 16S ribosomal RNA". It matches the Rfam family "Bacterial small subunit ribosomal RNA", at positions 524 to 776 of the family's 1533-position model. The record is from RNAcentral.
UACGGAGGAUGCGAGCGUUAUCCGGAUUUAUUGGGUUUAAAGGGUGCGUAGGCGGGAUGCCAAGUCAGCGGUAAAAAUGCGGUGCUCAACGCCGUCGAGCCGUUGAAACUGGCGUUCUUGAGAGGGCGAGAAGUAUGCGGAAUGCGUGGUGUAGCGGUGAAAUGCAUAGAUAUCACGCAGAACUCCGAUUGCGAAGGCAGCAUACCGGCGCCCUACUGACGCUGAGGCACGAAAGCGUGGGUAUCGAACAGG